Molecule: unclassified non-coding RNA, 304 nt
Filed under: Tragopogon tomentosulus
Lineage: Eukaryota; Viridiplantae; Streptophyta; Magnoliopsida; Asterales; Asteraceae
Description: partial external transcribed spacer
Source: RNAcentral
GCGGUGGUUUCUUGUGUUGAUUACCUAAUCGAUGGCAUUGUUUGUCCCCAUUAGUUGGAUUUUGUAACACGUUGCUUGCGGCGUGAUACAAACAAUGAAGCAACCUUUGUUGUCCAACCUGUUGCUGCUCAUGCAUCGAUGGCUUGGCCCAUGAAGUGUUGAUUGGUCCCUUGGAUAUGGAACAUGAUGUGGGCACAAGUUUGUCAAAGAUCUUGUAUUUGCCCUAUUGAGUGAUUUAGCUUCUUUAAAUGACCGUCUUCCAUGUAUCGUAAAGUCGGUGUAUGGAGGAUUGUGUCAAACAGAA